This 150-nucleotide ribosomal RNA is filed under the name Gambusia affinis (western mosquitofish). RNAcentral describes it as "5.8S ribosomal RNA (ENSGAFG00000005929.1)". It matches the Rfam family "5.8S ribosomal RNA". From Rfam's summary of the family: 5.8S ribosomal RNA (5.8S rRNA) is a component of the large subunit of the eukaryotic ribosome. It is transcribed by RNA polymerase I as part of the 45S precursor that also contains 18S and 28S rRNA. Functionally, it is thought that 5.8S rRNA may be involved in ribosome translocation. Lineage: Eukaryota; Metazoa; Chordata; Actinopteri; Cyprinodontiformes; Poeciliidae. The record is from RNAcentral.
AACUCUUAGCAGUGGAUCACUCGGCUCGUGCGUCGAUGAAGAAUGCAGCUAGCUGCGAGAACUAAUGUGAUUUGCAGGACUUCUUUUGACAGUAAAUUGUGCAACAAAGAGUUGUUUUUGUCAAUAAUCAAAAAGGUAAACCGAGAUAAA